GGUUCACGUUAGGGGUGCCGCCAGCGGUCUGCUGCGGCUGAGAGAGUCCCUUUGAACCUGUACGGGUCAUGCCGUCGUAGGGAAGCGGAGCGCAAGCCGA
This 100-nucleotide non-coding RNA is filed under the name Candidatus Accumulibacter. Its description in RNAcentral is "TPP sequence". It matches the Rfam family "TPP riboswitch aptamer (THI element)". Rfam says of the family: Vitamin B(1) in its active form thiamin pyrophosphate (TPP) is an essential coenzyme that is synthesised by coupling of pyrimidine and thiazole moieties in bacteria. Lineage: Bacteria; Pseudomonadati; Pseudomonadota; Betaproteobacteria. The record is from RNAcentral.